RNAcentral lists this transfer RNA (54 nucleotides) under Ruminococcus sp. TF12-19AC. RNAcentral describes it as "tRNA-Ser". It matches the Rfam family "tRNA", at positions 22 to 71 of the family's 71-position model. From Rfam's summary of the family: Transfer RNA (tRNA) molecules are approximately 80 nucleotides in length. Their secondary structure includes four short double-helical elements and three loops (D, anti-codon, and T loops). Lineage: Bacteria; Bacillati; Bacillota; Clostridia; Eubacteriales; Oscillospiraceae. The record is from RNAcentral.
AGCGCACGCCUGAUAAGCGUGAGGUCGGUGGUUCGAGUCCACUUAAGCCCACCA